AUGGUCGUCCCCGCGGCGGCAUCUCCCAAUCUUUACUUGCUCGACCUGGUGAAAUCCGGCCGCAUGCUCAUCGACCGUGGCCUCGUUCUCGCGGACGGCGAGGUGGACAACAUCUAUCUCCCAGUCGACACGUUCAAGCUCUUGCGCAUCGAUGACACUGUCGUGUACAAGAAUGUCGGUGACAUCAAGGUGGUCGACAGGAGCCACCUGUACCCCGGACAGGUGGUCGGGUCGGCAUCCGACAUGGGCGGCCAGAUCGGCGUCGUCACCGGCGUCAACACCGUGCUCAACCUGGCCAAGCUAGACAACAACGGCGUGCCGACCAAGGUCAUCAGGGGGGUGUCCCCGUCUAGCCUGCGGCGCGUCAGGAGUCUCAACCUUGGCGACUUUGUCGUGUCUGGGCCGUGGCUCGGCCGUGUCGUCGAGGUGUCGAUCGAUGUCGAUGUGUUGUUCGAUGACGGAGCCAUCUGCAGGAUCACCGAUGCGGAGUCCACGAACCUGGCCAGAGUGCGUGAAAUCGGCACCAUGGCGACCUUGCAUCGCCACCAGAUGAAUAGUCAAUUCCACCAGGGGCAGCAUGUCACCUUGACACGCGCUUGUUCACUCUUCAAGGAUGCUCGCUGGCUUAAUGGCUACUGGCAUCCCUACCGACAAGUAGGCACCAUUAUGAAGGUGGAGACGUCCGGCGUCCUUGUCUACUGGGUUGCAUCCAGACAUUGUGGCACCGACAAGGGGCUAGUGGAGGCAUCCGCUCCUCCAGCCUACCAAAACCCAGAUGAUCUUACGUUCUUCUGCGCCUCGUACAAUUGCUGCUGGGGGCUUGCUGACCGUUGUUUUUUUCUAGAAACAAGUUCCACCAAAGAGGAUGCAGCUUGUGCUCCUGAUCAACACGGUGAUGAUGAUGAUGAUGAGGUGGUGGAGGAGGACGAGGACGAGGAAGAGGAAGAGGAAUACAAUGCGUGCUCACAAGACAACCAAGAGGUGUGUGAAGCAUCAACCUCUCAUGUGGGACCACCCACCAAGCAGAAGGAUGAGAGGUUUUAUCGGAAGCAGCUAAGGAAGGUCGUCUUUGAGGGCCAUAGACGGGCGCAACGACCACAAGUCAUGAGACAUGUGGAGGUGGAGUUUCCUAUGGUCGUCGCCGACACCUGCACCACCGUCGAUGUGUUGUGGCAGGACGGCACACGGCAACAUGGCAGACGUUCAGCGACUGUCGUCCCCUUUGGGAUCUGGAAUGAGCAAGAGUUCUUCCCGGGACAACAUGUUGUCGCCAACAUUCUCCCUAUUAGUGCUGCCGUUGAUAGUACUGGUGACCAUGAUGAUGUUAUAACUACUAGUGUCAACAAUGACAUUGUUGCGUCUGGAACUGGACCAACAGAGCGUGUGGGCAUCGUCAAGAGCCUGCAAUACAAGGACCAGACGGUUUGUGUAUCAUGGUUCAAGACGUCAGGGCACCCAGAUGAGGCUAGGGAGGUCGAAUGCGACCAAACCAUCAGUGCUUACGACUUAAAAUUGGACUCUAACCACUCUGCUUACUAUGGUGAUAUUGUCAUUCGUAUCCUACCAUCGGGAUCAACAAAUGAUGCUGAAAGUGCACCCUUGUUAUCGGGAAACAAGAAGAAAAAUGCCGUUCCUGUCGAUCUUUCAUGGGUUGGGCGGGUAGUUGAACUUCCUAAUGGGCACAUCCAAGUCAAGUGGGGUGAUGGUAGCAUGUCAACGGUAUCGCCCCAUGAGAUCGUUGCCGUCAAGGACAAGCACUACAUGGAGCUAUGGCUUGAAAUGGGCGAUUGGGUAGAGGACGAUGGCAUCGAUGACGCACCCGAAGAACCGGUUGCUGCCAACAUGGAAAUUGAUCUUCAGAAUCUAGAUAAUGAUGUCGAAAGCGUUAGCCCGGCAAUGUCAAGGACAAGCCUUUUAGGUUUUCCAUUCCGGUCUUUGCUCCAAUUCACCAGUGACGUGGUAGCUCGAGGUAAAGGAUACCUGAUGAACUGGCGGCCCUCGUCGUUGUCACCAAGCUCAGAGUUACCCGCGCCCGCAAAUGAUGAUAGUAUCGGUGGUGCUGCUGCAAUGGGGAUCAACGAUGCUGCUGUAGAUUUGACUUGUCACGGUUUUGCUGGGGGGACGAAGGCUGCAUAUGCUACCUGUUGCUGCGAUGAAUCGUCAUGCUUUCCACAUUUCAAUGUACUGCAGAUGAGCCCUCUGGAUCACCACUACCUUGACACUACGGACCAGGAAAUGCAGGGCGCUAGUCGUGGGAAGAGUUGGGCCAAAACAGUGCAAAAGGAAUGGAAAAUUCUGGAGAACGACUUACCAGAAACCAUCUACGUGCGAGCGUUUGAGGACCGCAUGGAUCUGCUUCGGGUGGUGAUGGUGGGCGCAAGCGGGACGCCAUAUCAUCACGGCCUCUUCUUCUUUGAUAUGCAGCUACCUCCGUCGUACCCGGAUGCCCCACCGCAAGUGUACUACCACUCCUUUGGCCUACGCCUCAAUCCCAACCUCUACGAGUCUGGUACAGUGUGUCUCAGCCUGCUGAACACAUUCGGUGGCGAGGGCACUGAGGUUUGGUCGUCAGCAACAUCAAGCCUCCUCCAAGUCGUUGUCUCCAUCCAGGGCCUCGUCCUCAAUGACCAACCAUACUACAACGAGGCCGGCUAUGAGACACUGGUCGGCAAACCGGAGGGCCGCCGCAAUGCGCUGCCCUACAAUGAGAAUGCUUACCUACUAACCCUCCGGACCAUGCAGCACCUUUUACGUCGGCCACCUCGGGGAUUUGAGGAAUUCGUCAAGGAACACUUCCGCCGUCGGGGAAAAUUUGUGCUUAGGACAUGCAAUGUAUGGCUUCAGGGAAAUGUUGUCGACGAUGCCCAUGCCAUUGAAGCGACUAGGAAGCGACCGUGCUCGGCUGGGUUAAGGCUUGCACUCACAAACAUGAUGCCAAGCCUCGUGGCAGCCUUCACCGAGAUCGGCGCCGUGGGGUGUGAAGAGUUCCAGUAG
Molecule: ribosomal RNA, 2994 nt
Filed under: Triticum aestivum (bread wheat)
Lineage: Eukaryota; Viridiplantae; Streptophyta; Magnoliopsida; Poales; Poaceae
Description: partial small subunit ribosomal RNA
Source: RNAcentral